AGCUCAGUUGUUAGUAAGCGUAGCGUGUCGAAGACGUAGCUGACUCAUAAUCAGUUGGUCCCUGGUUCGAGCCCAGGCGGGACCA
RNAcentral lists this transfer RNA (85 nucleotides) under Flavobacteriaceae bacterium. RNAcentral describes it as "tRNA-Met". The stretch from base 19 to 79 matches the Rfam family "tRNA", at positions 6 to 65 of the family's 71-position model. From Rfam's summary of the family: Transfer RNA (tRNA) molecules are approximately 80 nucleotides in length. Their secondary structure includes four short double-helical elements and three loops (D, anti-codon, and T loops). Further hydrogen bonds mediate the characteristic L-shaped molecular structure. tRNAs have two regions of fundamental functional importance: the anti-codon, which is responsible for specific mRNA codon recognition, and the 3' end, to which the tRNAs corresponding amino acid is attached (by aminoacyl-tRNA synthetases). tRNAs cope with the degeneracy of the genetic code in two manners: having more than one tRNA (with a specific anti-codon) for a particular amino acid; and 'wobble' base-pairing, i.e. permitting non-standard base-pairing at the 3rd anti-codon position. The record is from RNAcentral. Lineage: Bacteria; Pseudomonadati; Bacteroidota; Flavobacteriia; Flavobacteriales; Flavobacteriaceae.